GCGGAUGUGGUGGAAAUGGUAGACACGCAAGAUUUAGGUUCUUGUGACUUAACUGUCGUGGGGGUUCAAGUCCCUUCAUCCGCACCA
RNAcentral lists this transfer RNA (87 nucleotides) under Holosporales bacterium. RNAcentral's name for it is "tRNA-Leu". It matches the Rfam family "tRNA". Rfam says of the family: Transfer RNA (tRNA) molecules are approximately 80 nucleotides in length. Their secondary structure includes four short double-helical elements and three loops (D, anti-codon, and T loops). The record is from RNAcentral. Lineage: Bacteria; Pseudomonadati; Pseudomonadota; Alphaproteobacteria; Holosporales.